GAAACGACUGCUAAGACUGGAUAGUAGACAAGAAGGCAUCUUCUUGUUUUUAAAAGACCUAUUAAUAGGUAUGCUUAGGGAGGAGCUUGCGUCACAUUAGCUAGUUGGUGGGGUAAAGGCCUACCAAGACUAUGAUGUGUAGCCGGGCUGAGAGGUUGAACGGCCACAUUGGGACUGAGACACGGCCCAAACUCCUACGGGAGGCAGCAGUAGGGAAUUUUCGGCAAUGGAGGAAACUCUGACCGAGCAACGCCGCGUGAACGAUGAAGUAUUUCGGUACGUAAAGUUCUUUUAUUAGGGAAGAAUAAAUGAUGGAAAAAUCAUUCUGACGGUACCUAAUGAAUAAGCCCCGGCUAACUAUGUGCCAGCAGCCGCGGUAAUACAUAGGGGGCAAGCGUUAUCCGGAAUUAUUGGGCGUAAAGGGUGCGUAGGCGGUUAAAUAAGUUUAUGGUCUAAGUGCAAUGCUCAACAUUGUGAUGCUAUAAAAACUGUUUAGCUAGAGUAAGAUAGAGGCAAGUGGAAUUCCAUGUGUAGUGGUAAAAUGCGUAAAUAUAUGGAGGAACACCAGUAGCGAAGGCGGCUUGCUGGGUCUUUACUGACGCUGAGGCACGAAAGCGUGGGGAGCAAACAGGAUUAGAUGCCCUGGUAGUCCACGCCGUAAACGAUGAGUACUAAACGUUGGGUAAAACCAGUGUUGAAGUUAACACAUUAAGUACUCCGCCUGAGUAGUACGUACGCAAGUAUGAAACUUAAAGGAAUUGACGGGACUCCGCACAAGCGGUGGAUCAUGUUGUUUAAUUCGAAGGUACCCGAAAAACCUCACCAGGUCUUGACAUGCUUCUGCAAAGCUGUAGAAACACAGUGGAGGUUAUCAGUUGCACAGGUGUGCAUGGUUGUCGUCAGCUCGUGUCGUGAGAUGUUGGGUUAAGUCCCGCGACGAGCGCAACCCUUAUUGUUAGUUACCAGCACGUAAUGGUGGGGACUUUAGCAAGACUGCCAGUGAUAAAUUGGAGGAAGGUGGGGACGACGUCAAAUCAUCAUGCCCCUUAUGACCUGGCUACAAACGUGAUACAAUGGCUGUUACAAAGGGUAGCUGAAGCGCAAGUUUUUGGCGAAUCUCAAAAAAACAGUCUCAGUUCGGAUUGAAGUCUGCAACACGACUUCAUGAAGUUGGAAUCGCUAGUAAUCGCGAAUCAGCAUGUCGCGGUGAAUACGUUGACGGGGUUUGUACACACCGCCCGUCA
Molecule: ribosomal RNA, 1244 nt
Filed under: Aster yellows phytoplasma O
Lineage: Bacteria; Bacillati; Mycoplasmatota; Mollicutes; Acholeplasmatales; Acholeplasmataceae
Description: bacterial SSU rRNA
Rfam family: Bacterial small subunit ribosomal RNA
Source: RNAcentral